Molecule: ribosomal RNA, 253 nt
Filed under: uncultured bacterium
Lineage: Bacteria
Description: partial 16S ribosomal RNA
Rfam family: Bacterial small subunit ribosomal RNA
Source: RNAcentral
UACGUAGGGUGCAGGCGUUAAUCGGAAUUACUGGGCGUAAAGCGUGCGCAGGCGGUUUGUUAAGACAGAUGUGAAAUCCCCGGGCUUAACCUGGGAACUGCGUUUGAAACUACAAGGCUAGAGUGUGGCAGAGGGGGGUGGAAUUCCGCGUGUAGCAGUGAAAUGCGUAGAUAUGUGGAGGAACACCGAUGGCGAAGGCAGCCCCCUGGGUCAACACUGACGCUCAGGCACGAAAGCAUGGGGAGCAAACAGG